UACGUAGGGGGCGAGCGUUAUCCGGAUUCAUUGGGCGUAAAGCGCGCGUAGGCGGCCGCCUAAGCGGAACCUCUAACCCCGGGGCUCAACCUCGGGCCGGGUUCCGGACUGGGCGGCUCGAGUGCGGUAGAGGAGAGCGGAAUUCCCGGUGUAGCGGUGAAAUGCAUAGAUAUCACGCAGAACCCCGAUUGCGAAGGCAGCAUGCCGGCUUCCGACUGACGCUGAAGCACGAAAGCGUGGGGAUCGAACAGG
This 252-nucleotide ribosomal RNA is filed under the name uncultured Adlercreutzia sp. Its description in RNAcentral is "partial 16S ribosomal RNA". It matches the Rfam family "Bacterial small subunit ribosomal RNA", at positions 524 to 776 of the family's 1533-position model. The record is from RNAcentral. Lineage: Bacteria; Bacillati; Actinomycetota; Coriobacteriia; Eggerthellales; Eggerthellaceae.